GACGAACGCUGGCGGCGUGCCUAAUACAUGCAAGUCGAACGAGAGCGACCGGUGCUUGCACUGGUCAAUCUAGUGGCGCACGGGUGAGUAACACGUGGGUAACCUGCCCAUCAGAGGGGGAUAACAUCCGGAAACGGAUGCUAAAACCGCAUAGGUCUUCGAACCGCAUGGUUUGAAGAGGAAAAGAGGCGCAAGCUUCUGCUGAUGGAUGGACCCGCGGUGCAUUAGCUAGUUGGUGAGGUAACGGCUCACCAAGGCCGUGAUGCAUAGCCGACCUGAGAGGGUGAUCGGCCACAUUGGGACUGAGACACGGCCCAAACUCCUACGGGAGGCAGCAGUAGGGAAUCUUCCGCAAUGGACGCAAGUCUGACGGAGCAACGCCGCGUGAGUGAAGAAGGUUUUCGGAUCGUAAAACUCUGUUGUUAGAGAAGAACAAGUGCUAGAGUAACUGUUAGCGCCUUGACGGUAUCUAACCAGAAAGCCACGGAUAACUACGUG
This 498-nucleotide ribosomal RNA is filed under the name uncultured bacterium. Its description in RNAcentral is "partial 16S ribosomal RNA". It matches the Rfam family "Bacterial small subunit ribosomal RNA", at positions 28 to 507 of the family's 1533-position model. The record is from RNAcentral.